RNAcentral lists this ribosomal RNA (460 nucleotides) under uncultured bacterium. RNAcentral's name for it is "partial 16S ribosomal RNA". It matches the Rfam family "Bacterial small subunit ribosomal RNA", at positions 338 to 795 of the family's 1533-position model. The record is from RNAcentral.
CCUACGGGCGGCAGCAGUGAGGAAUAUUGGUCAAUGGACGAGCGUCUGAACCAGCCAAGUAGCGUGAAGGAUGACUGCCCUAUGGGUUGUAAACUUCUUUUAUAUGGGAAUAAAAUGUUCCACGUGUGGGAUUUUGUAUGUACCAUAUGAAUAAGGAUAGGCUAACUCCGUGCCAGCAGCCGCGGUAAUACGGAGGAUCCGAGCGUUAUCCGGAUUUAUUGGGUUUAAAGGGAGCGUAGGUGGAUUGUUAAGUCAGUUGUGAAAGUUUGCGGCUCAACCGUAAAAUUGCAGUUGAAACUGGCAGUCUUGAGUACAGUAUAGGUGGGCGGAAUUCGUGGUGUAGCGGUGAAAUGCUUAGAUAUCACGAAGAACUCCGAUUGCGAAGGCAGUUCACUGGACUGCAACUGACACUGAGGCUCGAAAGUGUGGGUAUCAAACAGGAUUAGAUACCCCAGUAGUC